Molecule: ribosomal RNA, 447 nt
Filed under: uncultured bacterium
Lineage: Bacteria
Description: bacterial SSU rRNA
Rfam family: Bacterial small subunit ribosomal RNA
Source: RNAcentral
UGGGGAAUAUUGGACAAUGGGCGCAAGCCUGAUCCAGCCAUGCCGCGUGAGUGAAGAAGGCCUUCGGGUUGUAAAGCUCUUUUACCAGGGACGAUAAUGACGGUACCUGGAGAAUAAGCCCCGGCAAACUUCGUGCCAGCAGCCGCGGUAAUACGAAGGGGGCUAGCGUUGUUCGGAAUUACUGGGCGUAAAGCGCACGUAGGCGGAUUGUUAAGUCAGAGGUGAAAUCCUGGGGCUCAACCCCAGAACUGCCUUUGAUACUGGCUGUCUCGAGGUCGAGAGAGGUUGGUGGAAUUCCUAGUGUAGAGGUGAAAUUCGUAGAUAUUAGGAAGAACACCGGUGGCGAAGGCGGCUCACUGGCUCGAUACUGACACUGAGGUGCGAAAGCGUGGGGAGCAAACAGGAUUAGAUACCCCCGUAGUCCCUGAGCGGGCUGGCAAGGCGCAU